This 471-nucleotide ribosomal RNA is filed under the name Streptococcus mitis. Its description in RNAcentral is "bacterial SSU rRNA". It matches the Rfam family "Bacterial small subunit ribosomal RNA", at positions 28 to 485 of the family's 1533-position model. The record is from RNAcentral. Lineage: Bacteria; Bacillati; Bacillota; Bacilli; Lactobacillales; Streptococcaceae.
GACGAACGCUGGCGGCGUGCCUAAUACAUGCAAGUAGAACGCUGAAGGAGGAGCUUGCUUCUCCGGUGAGUUGCGAACGGGUGAGUAACGCGUAGGUAACCUGCCUGGUAGCGGGGGAUAACUAUUGGAAACGAUAGCUAAUACCGCAUAAGAGUAGAUGUUGCAUGACAUUUGCUUAAAAGGUGCAAUUGCAUCACUACCAGAUGGACCUGCGUUGUAUUAGCUAGUUGGUGGGGUAACGGCUCACCAAGGCGACGAUACAUAGCCGACCUGAGAGGGUGAUCGGCCACACUGGGACUGAGACACGGCCCAGACUCCUACGGGAGGCAGCAGUAGGGAAUCUUCGGCAAUGGACGGAAGUCUGACCGAGCAACGCCGCGUGAGUGAAGAAGGUUUUCGGAUCGUAAAGCUCUGUUGUAAGAGAAGAACGAGUGUGAGAGUGGAAAGUUCACACUGUGACGGUAUCUACCA